Molecule: ribosomal RNA, 1529 nt
Filed under: Escherichia coli
Lineage: Bacteria; Pseudomonadati; Pseudomonadota; Gammaproteobacteria; Enterobacterales; Enterobacteriaceae
Description: bacterial SSU rRNA
Rfam family: Bacterial small subunit ribosomal RNA
Source: RNAcentral
AGAGUUUGAUCAUGGCUCAGAUUGAACGCUGGCGGCAGGCCUAACACAUGCAAGUCGAACGGUAACAGGAAACAGCUUGCUGUUUCGCUGACGAGUGGCGGACGGGUGAGUAAUGUCUGGGAAACUGCCUGAUGGAGGGGGAUAACUACUGGAAACGGUAGCUAAUACCGCAUAACGUCGCAAGACCAAAGAGGGGGACCUUCGGGCCUCUUGCCAUCAGAUGUGCCCAGAUGGGAUUAGCUAGUAGGUGGGGUAACGGCUCACCUAGGCGACGAUCCCUAGCUGGUCUGAGAGGAUGACCAGCCACACUGGAACUGAGACACGGUCCAGACUCCUACGGGAGGCAGCAGUGGGGAAUAUUGCACAAUGGGCGCAAGCCUGAUGCAGCCAUGCCGCGUGUAUGAAGAAGGCCUUCGGGUUGUAAAGUACUUUCAGCGGGGAGGAAGGGAGUAAAGUUAAUACCUUUGCUCAUUGACGUUACCCGCAGAAGAAGCACCGGCUAACUCCGUGCCAGCAGCCGCGGUAAUACGGAGGGUGCAAGCGUUAAUCGGAAUUACUGGGCGUAAAGCGCACGCAGGCGGUUUGUUAAGUCAGAUGUGAAAUCCCCGGGCUCAACCUGGGAACUGCAUCUGAUACUGGCAAGCUUGAGUCUCGUAGAGGGGGUAGAAUUCCAGGUGUAGCGGUGAAAUGCGUAGAGAUCUGGAGGAAUACCGGUGGCGAAGGCGGCCCCCUGGACGAAGACUGACGCUCAGGUGCGAAAGCGUGGGGAGCAAACAGGAUUAGAUACCCUGGUAGUCCACGCCGUAAACGAUGUCGACUUGGAGGUUGUGCCCUUGAGGCGUGGCUUCCGGAGCUAACGCGUUAAGUCGACCGCCUGGGGAGUACGGCCGCAAGGUUAAAACUCAAAUGAAUUGACGGGGGCCCGCACAAGCGGUGGAGCAUGUGGUUUAAUUCGAUGCAACGCGAAGAACCUUACCUGGUCUUGACAUCCACGGAAGUUUUCAGAGAUGAGAAUGUGCCUUCGGGAACCGUGAGACAGGUGCUGCAUGGCUGUCGUCAGCUCGUGUUGUGAAAUGUUGGGUUAAGUCCCGCAACGAGCGCAACCCUUAUCCUUUGUUGCCAGCGGUCCGGCCGGGAACUCAAAGGAGACUGCCAGUGAUAAACUGGAGGAAGGUGGGGAUGACGUCAAGUCAUCAUGGCCCUUACGACCAGGGCUACACACGUGCUACAAUGGCGCAUACAAAGAGAAGCGACCUCGCGAGAGCAAGCGGACCUCAUAAAGUGCGUCGUAGUCCGGAUUGGAGUCUGCAACUCGACUCCAUGAAGUCGGAAUCGCUAGUAAUCGUGGAUCAGAAUGCCACGGUGAAUACGUUCCCGGGCCUUGUACACACCGCCCGUCACACCAUGGGAGUGGGUUGCAAAAGAAGUAGGUAGCUUAACCUUCGGGAGGGCGCUUACCACUUUGUGAUUCAUGACUGGGGUGAAGUCGUAACAAGGUAACCGUAGGGGAACCUGCGGUUGGAUCACCU